Molecule: ribosomal RNA, 1118 nt
Filed under: Phaeosphaeria caricicola
Lineage: Eukaryota; Fungi; Ascomycota; Dothideomycetes; Pleosporales; Phaeosphaeriaceae
Description: SSU rRNA
Rfam family: Eukaryotic small subunit ribosomal RNA
Source: RNAcentral
UUUUUGCGGUCUGAUACUAUCUAUACGCAAUUAUACCGUGAAACUGCGAAUGGCUCAUUAAAUCAGUUAUCGUUUAUUUGAUAGUACCUUACUACUUGGAUAACCGUGGUAAUUCUAGAGCUAAUACAUGCUGAAAACCCCAACUUCGGGAGGGGUGUAUUUAUUAGAUAAAAAACCAACGCCCUUCGGGGCUUCUUGGUGAUUCAUGAUAACUUAACGGAUCGCAUGGCCUUGCGCCGGCGACGGUUCAUUCAAAUUUCUGCCCUAUCAACUUUCGAUGGUAAGGUAUUGGCUUACCAUGGUUUCAACGGGUAACGGGGAAUUAGGGUUCGAUUCCGGAGAGGGAGCCUGAGAAACGGCUACCACAUCCAAGGAAGGCAGCAGGCGCGCAAAUUAUCCAAUCCCGACACGGGGAGAUAGUGACAAUAAAUACUGAUACAGGGCUCUUUUGGGUCUUGUAAUUGGAAUGAGUACAAUUUAAACCUCUUAACGAGGAACAAUUGGAGGGCAAGUCUGGUGCCAGCAGCCGCGGUAAUUCCAGCUCCAAUAGCGUAUAUUAAAGUUGUUGCAGUUAAAAAGCUCGUAGUUGAACCUUGGGUCUGGCUGGCAGGUCCGCCUCACCGCGUGUACUUGUCCGGCCGGGCCUUCCUUCUGGAGAACCUCAUGCCCUUCACUGGGCGUGUUGGGGACCAGGACUUUUACUUUGAAAAAAUUAGAGUGUUCAAAGCAGGCCUUUGCUCGAAUACGUUAGCAUGGAAUAAUAGAAUAGGACGUGCGGUCCUAUUUUGUUGGUUUCUAGGACCGCCGUAAUGAUUAAUAGGGACAGUCGGGGGCAUCAGUAUUCAAUUGUCAGAGGUGAAAUUCUUGGAUUUAUUGAAGACUAACUACUGCGAAAGCAUUUGCCAAGGAUGUUUUCAUUAAUCAGUGAACGAAAGUUAGGGGAUCGAAGACGAUCAGAUACCGUCGUAGUCUUAACCGUAAACUAUGCCGACUAGGGAUCGGGCGAUGUUCUUUUUUCUGACUCGCUCGGCACCUUACGAGAAAUCAAAGUUUUUUGGGUUCUGGGGGGGAGUAUGGUUCGCAAGGCUGAAACUUAAAGGAAAUUUUGACGAAAGAGA